This 4437-nucleotide long non-coding RNA is filed under the name Homo sapiens (human). RNAcentral describes it as "non-protein coding lnc-GOLGA4-4:6". Lineage: Eukaryota; Metazoa; Chordata; Mammalia; Primates; Hominidae. The record is from RNAcentral.
AGUUGUGGCCGCGACUGCCCGGGAGUGGCGCUUGCCGCGGUCCGGGCUUGCACCCCGCUGGGCAAAGUACCCGGGGCUGUCACACGGCGAGCUGAGCCCUGGGCCGGCGGAUUGGAGGAAAAAAAAGUGGAAGCCCUGGGACCCACCAUCAUGAACAAUCGGGGAGAAGACAAGAGGCCAGCAAAGGAAUGAACACAGGGACGCAUGAGACAUUUGGUGCCGAAGACCUGGGUCAGCGGGACUCCUUUGGGAGACCAGUCCCCCAUCCUCACCCUCACUCUGUGAAGAGAUCCACCUACGACCUUGGGUCCUCAGACCAACCAGCCUAAGGAACAUCUCACCUAUUUUAAAUCGGGUAAGCGGCCUCUUUCUACUCUCUUCUCCAACCUCUCUCACUAUCCCUCAACCUCUUUUCCUUUCAAUCUUGGCACCACCCUUCAGUCUCUCCCUUCUCUUAAUUUCAAUUCCUUUCAUUUUCUGGUAGAGACAAAGGAGACACAUUUUAUCUGUGGACCCAAAACUCCGGCACAGGUCACAGACUCAGGAACACAGCCUUCCCUUGGUGUUUAAUCAUUGUGGGGAUGCCUGCCUGAUUAUUCACCCACAUUCCGUUGGUGUCUGAUCUCCGUGGGGAUGCCUAACUUGGUCAUUCACCCACAUUCCCUUGGUGGCAAGUUAAUUGUAGGGACAAUUGCUUUGGCUGCUCACCCACAUUGCAGCCCAGGGCUGCUCAUGUCACCCCUUCUCUCCGUGUCUCUACCCUCUCUUUUCUCUCCACUUUCCUGGGGGGCAAGCACCCCCCACCCCUUCUCUCUGUGUCUCUGCCCCUUUUCCACUUUCCUGGGGGGCAAGAACCUCCCACCCCUUCUCUCCGUGUCUCUGCCCCUUUUCCAUUUUCCUAGGGGGGCAAGUACCCCCCACCCCUUCUCUCCAUGUCUCUGCCCCUUUUCCACUUUCCUGGGGGGCAAGCACCUCCCACCCCUUUUCCACUUUCCUGGGGGGCAAGCACCUCCCACCCCAUUUCCACUUUCCUGCGGGGGCAAGCACCUUCUUUUCAAGGGCCUGUUUCCCUUGCCUCCAUAACUGUUGUGAGUAUUGACAGCCAGGCUUCUAAACCUCUUAAAACUCCCCAACUCUGGUGCCAACUUGGACAACAUUCUUUAAUGAACUCCUUUUUAGUUAUCCCACCUGCCCAGCUCGCUUAUUAGUUCAAAACAUUGUAACUAAAUUAUCUGCUUCCCUGACUAUUCCUGGGUUAAAGCCACACCUCACUACUGCCUUUUGCCCCAGUUCAAUGCCUCCUGCACAUCCUCUCCUUGUAUCUCCCCACCUUAAUCCACAAGUGUAGGACACCUCUACUCCCUCCUUGGCGAUGGAUGAUGCACCCCUUACCAUCCUAUUAAAAUCUAAUCACCCUUACCCUGCUCAGUGCCAAUAUCCCAUCCCACAGCACGCUUUAAAAGGAUUAAAGCCUGUUAUCACUUGCCUGUUACAGCAUGGCCUUUUAAAGCCUAUAAACUCUCCUUACAAUUCCCCCAUUUUACCUGUCCAAAAACUGGACAAGUCUCACAGGUUAGUUCAGGAUCUGCGUUUAUCAACCAAAUUGUCUUGCCUAUCCACCCCAUGGUGCCAAAGCCAUAUACUCUCCUAUCCUCAGUACCUCCCUCCACAACCCCUCCAUAACCCAUUAUUCUGUUCUGGAUCUCAAACAUGCUUUCUUUACUAUUCCUUGCACCCUUCAUCCCAGCCUCUCUUUGCUUUCACUUGGACUGACCCUGACACCCAUCAGGCUCAGCAAAUUACCUGGGCUGUACUGCCACAAGGCUUCACGGACAGCCCCCAUUACUUCAGUCAAGCCCAAAUUUCUUCCUCAUCCAUUACCUAUCUCGACAUAGUUCUUCAUGAAAACACACGUGCUCUCCCUGCUGAUUGUGUCUGGCUAAUCUCCCAAACCCCAACCCCUUCUACAAAACAACAACUCCUUUCCUUCCUAGGCAUGGUUGGAUACUUUCACCUUUAGAUACCUGGUUUUGCCAUCCUAAUAAAACCAUUAUAUAAACUCACAAAACCAAACCUAGCUGACCCCAUAGAUCCUAAAUCCUUUCACCACUCCUCUUUCUGUUCCUUAAAAACAGCCCUAGAAGCUGCCCCCACACUAGCUCUCCCUAACUCAUCCCAACCCUUUUCAUUACACACAGCCAAAGUACAGGGCUGUGCAGUCAAAAUUCUUACACAAGAGCUGGGACUGCACCCUGUAGCCUUUCUGUCCAAACAACUUGACCUUACUCUUUUUGGCUGGCCCCCACCCCCAUGACUGUAUCUCUCUGAUCCACCUGACAUUCACUCCAUUUCCCCGUAUUUCCUUCUUUCAUGUUCCUCACCCUGAUCACACUUGGUUUAUUGAUGGCAGUUCCACCAGGCCUAACCGCCACUCACCAGCAAAGGCAGGCUAUGCUAUAGUAUCUUCCAUAUCUAUCACUGAGGCUACCACUCUGCCCUCCUCCACUACCUCUCAGCAAGCCAAAUUCAUUGCCUUAACUCGAACACUCACUCUUGCAAAGGAAUUAUGCAUCAAUAUUUAUACAGACUGUAAAUAUGCCUUCCAUAUCCUGCACCACCAUGCUGUUAUAUGGGCUGAAAGAGGUUUCCUCACUAUGCAAGGGUCCUCCAUCAUUAAUGCCUCUUUAAUAAAAACUCUUCUCAAGGCCGCUUUACUUCCCAAGAAAGCUGGAGUCAUACACUGCAAGGGCCACUAAAAGACAUCAGAUCCCAUUGCUCAGGGCAACGCUUAUGCUGAUAAGGUAGCUAAAGAAGCACCUAGUGUUCCAACUUCUGUCCCUCAUGGCCAGUUUUUCUCCUUCUAAUUGGUCACUCCUAUUUACUCUCCUACUGAAGUUUCCACCUAUCAAUCUCUUCCCGCACAAGGCAAAUUGUUCUUGGACCAAGGAAAAUAUCUCCUUCCAGCCUCACAUGCCCAUUCUAUUCUGUUGUCAUUUCAUAACCUCUUCCACGGUAGGUUACAAGCCGUUAGUCUGCCUCUUCAAACCUCUCAUUUCCUUUCCAUCGUGAAUAUCUAUCCCCAGUCCUCCACUCUUGACUCCCUCUUGGAGUGGAUAGAUGAUCUUUGCUGACAGGACACAUUCCAACACUUUCACCCUGAUGAAGUCCUAUUCUUUACUUUUAUACUCACUCUUAUUCUUGUUCCCAUUCUUAUUGCCACCCUCUACCUCUCCCCAGCUAUCUCCACCACACUAUCAAUUUCACUCACUCUCUCCUAGCUAUUUCUAAUCCUUCUUUAACAAACAAUUGCUGGCUUUGCAUUUCUCUUUCCUCCAAAAUCACCAAGGCCUCAAUUUACUCACUGCUGAAAAGGGAGGACUCUGUAUAUUUUUAAAUGAAGAGUGUUGUUUUUACCUUAAUCAAUCUGGCCUGGUAUAUGACAACAUAAAAAAACUCAAGGAUAGAGCCCCAAAACUCGUCAACUAAGAAUAUAAUUAUGCUGAACCCCCUUGGGCACUCUCUAAUUGGAUGUCCUGGGUUCUCCCAAUUCUUAGUCCUUUAAUACUUGUUUUUCUCCUUCUCUUAUUCAGAAGUUGUGUCUGUCAUUUAGUUUCUCAAUUCAUACAAAACCACAUUCAGGCCAUCACCAAUAAUUCUAUAUGACAAAUGCUCCUUCUAACAACUCCACAAUAUCACCCCUUACCCCAAAAUAUUUCUUCAGUUUAAUCUCUCCCACUCUAGGUUCUCACACCACCCCAAUCCCACUUGGAGCAGCCCUGAGAAACAUUGCCCAUUAUCUCUCCAUACCACCCCAAAAAUUUUUGCCACACCAACACUUCACCACUAUUUUGUUUUGUUUUUCUUAUUAAUACAUGAAGACAGGAAUGUCAGGCCUCUGAACCCAAGCUAAGCCAUCAUAUCCCCUGUGACCUGCAUUUAUACAUCCAGAUGGCCUGAAGCAAAUGAAGAUCCACAAAAGAAGUAAAAAUAGCCUUAACUGAUGACAUUCCACCAUUGUCAUCUGCCCUACCCUAACUGAGAAGAUAUAUUCUCCCCCGCCCUUAAGAAGGUACUUUGUAUGCCUAUCCCAAACCUAUAAGAACUAAUGAUAAUCCCAGCGCCCUUUGAUGACUCUUUUUUCUGACUCAGCCCACCUGUACCCAGGUGAAAUAAACAGCCUUGUUGCUCACACAAAGCCUGUUUGGUGGUCUCUUCGCAAGGACGCAUGAGACAGCAUUUACUAUGCUAUUGAGAUUGCCUGUUGAACCUUUCUGCCUCCUCCAACAGAGAAUAAGUUUAUUGAAGGCAGAGAAUAUUUAUCCUUCACGCAGAACUUGAAAAAACAGUUAUAAUUUUUUAUUUUUUGAGACAGAGUCUUGCUCUGUUGCCCAGGCUGGAGUGCAAUGGCACCACCUCAGCUCACUGCAACCUCUGCCU